Molecule: long non-coding RNA, 2332 nt
Filed under: Setaria viridis
Lineage: Eukaryota; Viridiplantae; Streptophyta; Magnoliopsida; Poales; Poaceae
Description: long non-coding RNA (SVIR_LNC001255)
Source: RNAcentral
CUCCAUUUAUGUAAUUAGUUUUGUAAUUAAACUAUAUUUAAUACUCCUAAUUAGUAUCUUAAAUAUCCGACGUGACACGUCUAAAGUUUAACCGCUGAACCAAACAGCGCAUUGACCGGCAACAGGAUCUUCUGACAUGGGUAGUAUACUGUUACAUUUGACAGUGUGUGCCUGACACCUUCGACCUUCCAACCACUUGUUUUCUAGCUGCUGUGUUGAACUGUUGAUGGCGAUGCAGCAGCCGGUUUGCACGCUGGGAAUGAUGGAGACGGCGUGCUGAUCACGCAGGCAUGCAGUGUAUGCUACUGUUUAGCAGGUCUUGUCUGUCUGCCUAGCUGAUGACAGUGUUUAAACAACAAGAGUUUCAUGAUAAGCUUGUUAAUGGUUUUGUGGCUGGUUUCAGUUUUUUGCGGUGUGCGAGUCACCAAACCAACCGCUGCAAGUGCAACCACCUCCGGGCAGUUAAGCUCACCAGUAGAUUGUAGUCAGUCCCUUUGCACGCGUCUUUUUCUGAGGGUUUUGCCUGUGUGCCAUUAUGAAAGUUGGUCUAACCUCCAUACCUCUAAAAAGUUCGUCGACACCUGUAUGCCCAAGUGCAUCUUGGUUUGUCCCUCCAUGCCAUUCCGUCCCUAUUUUGUGCUAACGGUCGUUAACUGCGCUGAGAAUGGACUCAAAUACCCUUAGACAAAGGAGGUCUGUUGAACUUAGAGGUCUGCCACCAGCGCCCGGACGCCAGCGAGCUGAUCGUGGCGGCCGCGUAGGAGACGGCGUCGGCUCCGGAAGCGUCAGGCUCGACGGAGUCGGGGAGUUGGACGUGGACGACCUCGCCCUGGCCAGGGCCAGCCGAGCCGGGCGCGUCGAACAGGGUCUCGAUGUCGUCCUCGAAGCGCCCGGCGUCCGGCAGCGGCAGGGCACGCAGCUGGUGAUGGUCGUCGUCGGGCAGCAAUCACAGUACUGAAACAAGGACAUGCGCAUACUGAACUCUCUGAACUUACUGUGAAGUUGAGUUUGCAGUCUGAGCCCCAGUACUUGAGCGCUGCAAGAUCGUAGGUGUGGGCUGCUGCCUCCUCACUGUCAAAAGCUCCUGCAAAGAAACAAGAUUAGGAUCUUAACUCAUGUAUUCCUAUGUUCUUGCAUUUGUAUGCAAGUGUCUGAUCGUUUUGUGCAAACGUUAUAUUUCUGAAUGAAGAGUAUACUUGGAGACAAGCACAAUGCACUCCUUUCAACUUUACCCAAAAGCACUUUUCCCCGUCCACACUCGAUCUCUCUUUUUGUUGAAAAGAAGGGAGAAAGCAGUUGCAGAUUCGAAAAUCGAAAUCAAUCCGAACAGCACAAUGCAGUUCAUUCGCAGAACAAUGCAGUUGCAAAUAAUUUGAGAAUCAUUGCAUGGAAAAGUCAGUGAGCUUUUUCUGGAUUUGAGAGGAUCUCCAACUCACCAAGAUAAACUGUUGGAAGCGAGCACAGCAGAUCAUCAGACAUGAAACAUCCGCACAUCACACGAAUGCCGAGGCAGCCGAGCACAAACCCAAACAAAAAAUUCAGAAGAAACAGAGAAGAAUGUCAGUGAAUUUUGCUACAGCGUGAGAACUCAAAUGAUCAAAUAAAUGGAGAGAAACCAGAGAAGAAACAAAAGAAUCGCAUUUGUUCAUCCGCUGGGCACAUAAAGGCUUCACCUUGCUUGCCCUUCUUGUUCUUGGCCGGACUCCGGGCAUGCCUGUCCCACAGGUGCGCCUCGAACUUCCCCGAGACCCGGUGCCUGCAUCGACGAACUACGCGGAGGUGGCCAUCUCGACGGACGGGAGCGUGAGCAGCUCCACCACGUGCCGCCGCCUCGUCUUGGUCGCGGCCUUCCCCCUGCCCGUCGGGGAGCGCUUCUUCCUGGCCGCUGCCGGCGGCGCGGGGGGCAGGGGCGACGAGGCGCUGAGCAGGCUCGGCGGGGAGAUGCGGGCGAUGGCGGAGAUGGGCACGGGGGUUGCGGCGGCGUCGAGCGACCGCACCCCGGCGCGGACGGAGAGGAGGGAGCCGACGGGGCACUCGCGCCAGCCGAGGUCCUCGAUGUCGCGCGUGGCCUCGUCCGCGGAGAGCGCGGCGGCCGCGGCCGGGGCGGCGCUCGGCGGCGGCGCGGUGGCGUUGAGGGGCACGGAGGAGAGUGAGAGAUGCCGGUCAAAAUUGGUCAACACGGUCUCCGCGCAUAUGCAGACUAAGGGUACAGUGAACAUUUUCGAUGCCCGGGGCCCGCUUGUAAGAGCUCUCAAACGGCCAAAACCGAACGGAAUAGGGACGGAAUGGCAUGGAGGGACAAACCAAGAUGCACUUGGGCAUACAGGUGUCG